RNAcentral lists this ribosomal RNA (492 nucleotides) under uncultured bacterium. Its description in RNAcentral is "partial 16S ribosomal RNA". It matches the Rfam family "Bacterial small subunit ribosomal RNA", at positions 29 to 507 of the family's 1533-position model. The record is from RNAcentral.
AGUGAACGCUGGCGGUAGGCCUAACACAUGCAAGUCGAACGGCAGCACAGUAAGAGCUUGCUCUUACGGGUGGCGAGUGGCGGACGGGUGAGGAAUACAUCGGAAUCUACUUUUUCGUGGGGAGUAACGUAGGGAAACUUACGCUAAUACCGCAUACGACCUACGGGUGAAAGCAGGGGAUCUUCGGACCUUGCGCGAUUGAAUGAGCCGAUGUCGGAUUAGCUAGUUGGCGGGGUAAAGGCCCACCAAGGCGACGAUCCGUAGCUGGUCUGAGAGGAUGAUCAGCCACACUGGAACUGAGACACGGUCCAGACUCCUACGGGAGGCAGCAGUGGGGAAUAUUGGACAAUGGGCGCAAGCCUGAUCCAGCCAUACCGCGUGGGUGAAGAAGGCCUUCGGGUUGUAAAGCCCUUUUGUUGGGAAAGAAAAGCAGCAGGUUAAUACCCCGCUGUUCUGACGGUACCCAAAGAAUAAGCACCGGCUAACUUCGUG